AGUGGUGGAGCCGCCGGCCCAAGCGGUUAGUAGGUGAGUGAUGGGGUGACGCAGGAAGGUAGUCCAUCCCGGGCGGUGGUUGUCCCGGGGUAAGGGUGUAGGCCGGACGGUAGGUAAAUCCGCCGUUCAUCAAGGCUGAGACCUGAUGCCGAGCCGAUUGUGGUGAAGUGGAUGAUCCUAUGCUGUCGAGAAAAGCCUCUAGCGAGUUUCAUGGCGGCCCGUACCCUAAACCGACUCAGGUGGUCUGGUAGAGAAUACCGAGGCGUUCGGGUGAACUAUGGUUAAGGAACUCGGCAAAAUGCCCCCGUAACUUCGGGAGAAGGGGGGCCAUGUCUGGUGAGCCGUCUUGCACGGUGAGCUGGGUGUGGCCGCAGAGACCAGCGAGAAGCGACUGUUUACUAAAAACACAGGUCCGUGCGAAGCCGUAAGGCGAUGUAUACGGACUGACGCCUGCCCGGUGCUGGAACGUUAAGGGGACCGGUUAGUCACUCUUCGGGGUGGCGAAGCUGAGAACUUAAGCGCCAGUAAACGGCGGUGGUAACUAUAACCAUCCUAAGGUAGCGAAAUUCCUUGUCGGGUAAGUUCCGACCUGCACGAAUGGCGUAACGACUUCUCGACUGUCUCAACCAUAGGCCCGGUGAAAUUGCACUACGAGUAAAGAUGCUCGUUUCGCGCAGCAGGACGGAAAGACCCCGGGACCUUUACUACAGUUUGAUAUUGGUGUUCGGUUCGGCUUGUGUAGGAUAGCUGGGAGACUGUGAAGCUCGGACGCCAGUUCGGGUGGAGUCGUCGUUGAAAUACCAGUCUGGUCGUGCUGGAUGUCUAACCUGGGUCCGUGAUCCGGAUCAGGGACAGUGUCUGAUGGGUAGUUUAACUGGGGCGGUUGCCUCCUAAAGGGUAACGGAGGCGCCCAAAGGUUCCCUCAGCCUGGUUGGUAAUCAGGUGGUGAGUGUAAGUGCACAAGGGAGCUUGACUGUGAGACCGACGGGUCGAGCAGGGACGAAAGUCGGGACUAGUGAUCCGGCGGUGGCUUGUGGAAGCGCCGUCGCUCAACGGAUAAAAGGUACCCCGGGGAUAACAGGCUGAUCUUCCCCAAGAGUCCAUAUCGACGGGAUGGUUUGGCACCUCGAUGUCGGCUCGUCGCAUCCUGGGGCUGGAGUCGGUCCCAAGGGUUGGGCUGUUCGCCCAUUAAAGCGGUACGCGAGCUGGGUUUAGAACGUCGUGAGACAGUUCGGUCCCUAUCCGCUGCGCGCGUAGGAGUCUUGAGAAGGGCUGUCCCUAGUACGAGAGGACCGGGACGGACGAACCUCUGGUGUGCCAGUUGUUCUGCCAAGGGCAUGGCUGGUUGGCUACGUUCGGGAGGGAUAACCGCUGAAAGCAUCUAAGCGGGAAGCCUGCUUCGAGAUGAGGACUCCCACCCACUUGAUGGGGUAAGGCUCCCAGUAGACGACUGGGUUGAUAGGCCGGAUCUGGAAGCCAGGUAACUGGUGGAGGUGACCGGUACUAAUAGGCCGAGGGCUUGUCCUC
Streptomyces griseoaurantiacus M045 is the source of this 1527-nucleotide ribosomal RNA. It matches the Rfam family "Bacterial large subunit ribosomal RNA", at positions 1435 to 2925 of the family's 2925-position model. Lineage: Bacteria; Bacillati; Actinomycetota; Actinomycetes; Kitasatosporales; Streptomycetaceae. The record is from Rfam.